UGGUGGGUAGUUUGACUGGGGCGGUCUCCUCCUAAAGAGUAACGGAGGAGCACGAAGGUUGGCUAAUCCUGGUCGGACAUCAGGAGGUUAGUGCAAUGGCAUAAGCCAGCUUGACUGCGAGCGUGACGGCGCGAGCAGGUGCGAAAGCAGGUCAUAGUGAUCCGGUGGUUCUGAAUGGAAGGGCCAUCGCUCAACGGAUAAAAGGUACUCCGGGGAUAACAGGCUGAUACCGCCCAAGAGUUCAUAUCGACGGCGGUGUUUGGCACCUCGAUGUCGGCUCAUCACAUCCUGGGGCUGAAGUAGGUCCCAAGGGUAUGGCUGUUCGCCAUUUAAAGUGGUACGCGAGCUGGGUUUAGAACGUCGUGAGACAGUUCGGUCCCUAUCUGCCGUGGGCGCUGGAGAACUGAGGGGGGCUGCUCCUAGUACGAGAGGACCGGAGUGGACGCAUCACUGGUGUUCGGGUUGUCAUGCCAAUGGCACUGCCCGGUAGCUAAAUGCGGAAGAGAUAAGUGCUGAAAGCAUCUAAGCACGAAACUUGCCCCGAGAUGAGUUCUCCCUGAGACUUUAGGUCUCCUGAAGGAACGUUGAAGACGACGACGUUGAUAGGCCGGGUGUGUAAGCGCAGCGAUGC
This 631-nucleotide ribosomal RNA is filed under the name Salmonella enterica. Its description in RNAcentral is "partial 23S ribosomal RNA". It matches the Rfam family "Bacterial large subunit ribosomal RNA", at positions 2259 to 2884 of the family's 2925-position model. The record is from RNAcentral. RNAcentral also lists the same sequence under 1 other name. Lineage: Bacteria; Pseudomonadati; Pseudomonadota; Gammaproteobacteria; Enterobacterales; Enterobacteriaceae.